CUACUAGCGCUACAGUAACAAGUUGGAUUGUAGACUAGUCUAGUAGGCCUAGGUCCAGGCAUAUUAAUAUUAAAAUUAGGUCUAGAUCUAUUACUCAGUAGACUAUUAGGGUCACUAAGCCUUAGGCUCCCUAUAUUAUUUUUUUUUUUCUUAAUUUCAUUUUUCUUUUAAGAGUCAGACUCAAAGAUGGAGUGGACCUCAAGACUCAAAAGUUCUCUUCUGCCGUGUCUCUACUCUCUACAGUCUUGGACUUCUCAUUCUACUACUAAUUUCUACCUCGGCCUCUGGCUCAAUAAGGAAAGGGUUUGGAUAUGCAGAAUGUACUCAAACUCAAUGUCUAGGUGUACAGCUAUAGACUCUAGACUAGAUCCUACUGUGCUAAGCGGCCCUGUGAAGUGAUCUUUUUACUAGUAAAAAUUGCACACCAAUAUUUAAACAAGUGAAAGGUUGCAAAAUAAAGAGCUAUGGCAUCUUCAUGUACUGCUAGUUCAUGACAUAUGGACUUUAUUGUCCAUCUCUUCAAAUUGAAAAGACUGCAGAGCCUGAAUUACCUGCAACGUUAUGCUUCCUAUGAAACAUCAGCCAGCCCACAGAUAGAAGCUCCCUUUUCCAGCUUUAAGCAAGAGAGACCACAAUGAGAUACAGAUCUUGGUAUCAUGGACUGGUCACUUUUACAACCAACACUACUUGUAAAAUAAGAUUUACAAAUUAAUUCCUAAGCUAUUUCAAAGCUGAUAGAAAAGAAUUGAUGAUUAAUUUCAUAUAGACAAACUAUUGUAUCAAGAAAAUCACAUUCUCACCGACUGCGUGACCUAGCUAGAUGACAAUGUAUAUCAUCCAUAGAUUAACAAACAUAUGAGUAACAGAAAUAUUUGUGACAAGUAUUACUCUUUUAAUCUCCUUAAAAGUAACUCGAAUAUAGAGUGGCAGAUAUCAGCUGCAGUAGUUUUAACAACUGGCUGAUACUUUCAUAGUAGCACUUUCAUUUGUGUCUUUUAAAAUGUUCUUAUUGUAUCCCUUGAAUGUAUUUGCUAUGCUCAUCAUUUACAAAACGUAGAUUUCAUUCAUUAAAGCAUAAGCAUAUUGAUUAGACAUUAAAA
Molecule: long non-coding RNA, 1100 nt
Filed under: Strongylocentrotus purpuratus (purple sea urchin)
Lineage: Eukaryota; Metazoa; Echinodermata; Echinoidea; Camarodonta; Strongylocentrotidae
Description: uncharacterized LOC115928628, transcript variant X2
Source: RNAcentral